This 301-nucleotide ribosomal RNA is filed under the name uncultured bacterium. RNAcentral's name for it is "partial 16S ribosomal RNA". It matches the Rfam family "Bacterial small subunit ribosomal RNA", at positions 509 to 809 of the family's 1533-position model. The record is from RNAcentral.
CAGUAGCCGCGGGAAUGUGAAGGGUGCAAGCGUUAAUCGGAAUUACUGGGCGUAAAGCGUGCGUAGGUGGUGGUUUAAGUCCGUUGUGAAAGCCCUGGGCUCAACCUGGGAAUUGCAGUGGAUACUGGGUCACUAGAGUGUGGUAGAGGAUAGUGGAAUUUCCGGUGUAGCAGUGAAAUGCGUAGAGAUCGGAAGGAACAUCUGUGGCGAAGGCGACUAUCUGGGCCAACACUGACACUGAGGCACGAAAGCGUGGGGAGCAAACAGGAUUAGAUACCCCUGUAGUCCCUGUCUCUUAUAA